UGGGGAAUUUUGGACAAUGGGCGCAAGCCUGAUCCAGCCAUGCCGCGUGCAGGAAGAAGGCCUUCGGGUUGUAAACUGCUUUUGUCAGGGAAGAAAUCCUCUGGGUUAAUACCUCGGAGGGAUGACGGUACCUGAAGAAUAAGCACCGGCUAACUACGUGCCAGCAGCCGCGGUAAUACGUAGGGUGCGAGCGUUAAUCGGAAUUACUGGGCGUAAAGCGUGCGCAGGCGGCUUUGCAAGACAGAUGUGAAAUCCCCGGGCUCAACCUGGGAACUGCAUUUGUGACUGCAAGGCUAGAGUGCGGCAGAGGGAGAUGGAAUUCCGCGUGUAGCAGUGAAAUGCGUAGAUAUGCGGAGGAACACCGAUGGCGAAGGCAAUCUCCUGGGCCUGCACUGACGCUCAUGCACGAAAAGCGUGGGGGAGCAAACNGGA
Molecule: ribosomal RNA, 432 nt
Filed under: uncultured bacterium
Lineage: Bacteria
Description: partial 16S ribosomal RNA
Rfam family: Bacterial small subunit ribosomal RNA
Source: RNAcentral